ACCUGACGUGGCCUGAAGAGACAGACAGUGGCUCUUGCUAGCUAAUUAUUGUCAGAUGGAUCGGCAGCCGACCAACGCUUCUGAAACUAUUGUUUUUGGCAAAUGUUCCUCAACAUUUUCCUGGGAUGGGAUUUCACCAUGUUGUCCAAGCUGGUUUUGAACUCCUGGGGUCAAGAAAUCCA
Homo sapiens (human) is the source of this 182-nucleotide long non-coding RNA. The record is from Ensembl. NCBI's taxonomy places the organism in Eukaryota, Metazoa, Chordata, Mammalia, Primates, Hominidae.